RNAcentral lists this transfer RNA (77 nucleotides) under bacterium. RNAcentral describes it as "tRNA-Arg". It matches the Rfam family "tRNA". From Rfam's summary of the family: Transfer RNA (tRNA) molecules are approximately 80 nucleotides in length. The record is from RNAcentral.
GCGCCCGUAGCUCAGGUGGAUAGAGCGGUAGAUUCCUAAUCUGCAGGCCGCAGGUUCAAAUCCUGUCGGGCGCACCA